CCUCUGGGCCAGCACUUUAGGUCCUCGGCACCAAGCUAUAUUUUGCUCAAUAAAGUACCUCUUGUGUGUUGCAUUACCGUGUGUGUGUGUGUGUGUGUGUGUGUGUAUGUGUGUGUGUGUGUGUGUGUGUGUGUGUGUGUCCUCCAUGGAUUCUGAGCCAGAAUCGGUCAUUAUACCUUCAACCCAAAAGGCAGGAGUCCUUGAAACGGAACAGAAGAGCUGCCUUAACACUGCUGCUGCUGCUGCUGCUCUUUGUGCUACAGCUGACCGCUCUGUGGCAUCACAUUCUGAGGGAGAGCCAAGAACACAAGGUACAAGUGGAGCCCAAGAGUGACCAGGCUACCCUAUAGGUUCCAGCCAUCUCUCUAUCUAGGCAGGCACUGAUGCCAGCACACAGUCAGCCAGCCAGCCAGUCAGCCAGCCAGCAGCGUCUAGUGUAUUCUCUACCUGCUUCACUCCUUUCACAGACCUAGCCAGGACAUGGUGAGGACCAAGGAGAAUAGUGAACGUGCCGGUAAAAGGGACAGCUGUCUCAUCCCUGCAAGGACAAGGUCCACCCUAUGUUGCCAGGAACGACACUUCCCCCCUUUUGAGAUCCUCGGUCGACACCACUCCAAAGGAGACACUUCCCUUACAAAGAACGCUCACAAGGUGUGUAAGCCAGAGGACGCCCAGCAAAGGCUUUUCCACCAAAGGCAUGUUGGUGAUCUGACUGGCAGGAAGAGCAGGCUGAACACACUUUAGGGGCUCUGGUAGUUAUACCAGGGGCCAGCCAGACUCUCUUAACAGAGUCCACGAUGCCCGGGGUACCAAAGUGGCCAUUAGGAUGAACAGAUUGGUAAAUUUGGUGAUGGAAACUUCUAGGGAGCAGGGGUUUUCCUUCAGAUGACACCCACACUCCAUGAAUUGGUUUUGCUUUGAAUUUUCCUUUCCAUUUCUCCACUUCCUUUUCAUUAUAGGAAAGUGAUCCAUUUAAGUCAUCAGUGGUUGUUCCUGUUCAAAGUAGUUCAGGCCCUCCUAUGGCUGCUAGCUUGGCAGCAGCAUCUGCUCAGUCAUGUCCCCUGGAGACAGGGUCAGUGCCACCUCUAUGGGCACAGCAGUGAACUAGAGCCAGGGCUUCAGGCAGCGGGAGAGCAGAAAGAACUUCCUUAAUCAUUUCUGCAUCCGCUAUGGAAGGAGAAUACUGAGAGCACAGGGUGGAAGGCAGGUGUGUGACUGCUCUAAGGCAAAGUGGGCCACUCACGGCCAAGGUCCACUCCUAUUUAUGCCUGAGACGUCAGGAUGUGUACGAGGCUUGGGGUCCAACUUGCACAGA
RNAcentral lists this long non-coding RNA (1315 nucleotides) under Monodelphis domestica (gray short-tailed opossum). RNAcentral's name for it is "lncRNA (ENSMODG00000050690.1)". Lineage: Eukaryota; Metazoa; Chordata; Mammalia; Didelphimorphia; Didelphidae. The record is from RNAcentral.